RNAcentral lists this ribosomal RNA (492 nucleotides) under uncultured bacterium. RNAcentral describes it as "partial 16S ribosomal RNA". It matches the Rfam family "Bacterial small subunit ribosomal RNA", at positions 29 to 507 of the family's 1533-position model. The record is from RNAcentral.
AGUGAACGCUGGCGGUAGGCCUAACACAUGCAAGUCGAACGGCAGCACAGUAAGAGCUUGCUCUUACGGGUGGCGAGUGGCGGACGGGUGAGGAAUACAUCGGAAUCUACUUUUUCGUGGGGGAUAACGUAGGGAAACUUACGCUAAUACCGCAUACGACCUACGGGUGAAAGCAGGGGAUCUUCGGACCUUGCGCGAUUGAAUGAGCCGAUGUCGGAUUAGCUAGUUGGCGGGGUAAAGGCCCACCAAGGCGACGAUCCGUAGCUGGUCUGAGAGGAUGAUCAGCCACACUGGAACUGAGACACGGUCCAGACUCCUACGGGAGGCAGCAGUGGGGAAUAUUGGACAAUGGGCGCAAGCCUGAUCCAGCCAUACCGCGUGGGUGAAGAGGGCCUUCGGGUUGUAAAGCUCUUUUGUUGGGAAAGAAAAGCAGCAGGUUAAUACCCCGCUGUUCUGACGGUACCCAAAGAAUAAGCACCGGCUAACUUCGUG